RNAcentral lists this ribosomal RNA (274 nucleotides) under uncultured bacterium. Its description in RNAcentral is "partial 16S ribosomal RNA". It matches the Rfam family "Bacterial small subunit ribosomal RNA", at positions 523 to 796 of the family's 1533-position model. The record is from RNAcentral.
AUACGGAGGGUGCAAGCGUUGUCCGGAUUUAUUGGGUUUAAAGGGUGCGUAGGUGGUUUUUUAAGUCAGUGGUGAAAGCCUACAGCUUAACUGUAGAGGUGCCAUUGAUACUGGGGAACUUGAGUAUGGACGAGGUAGGCGGAAUUUGUGGUGUAGCGGUGAAAUGCAUAGAUACCACAAGGAACACCGAUAGCGAAGGCAGCUUACUGGGCCAUAACUGACACUGAGGCACGAGAGCGUGGGGAGCGAACAGGAUUAGAAACCCCAGUAGUCC